Molecule: long non-coding RNA, 171 nt
Organism: Alosa sapidissima (American shad)
Lineage: Eukaryota; Metazoa; Chordata; Actinopteri; Clupeiformes; Clupeidae
Exons: 3
Source: RefSeq, a predicted model, not a curated record
UUAAUUUGGCCCGUCGAUAAAAAAAAAAGGUGGUGAUAGACAGAUGGUUUAUCCAAUCAGCUAACCAGUAUUUCCGCCCCUUCCCAAAAGUUCUUCAAUGACAAAUUCCCAGAUGGAUAUGCGGAGCAAAUCCAUCUGGCGAAGUCAGGUUAUUGAAAAAACAUCUUUAUU